Vidua chalybeata is the source of this 3141-nucleotide long non-coding RNA. RefSeq lists it as uncharacterized. The record is from RefSeq and is a predicted model, not a curated record. Lineage: Eukaryota; Metazoa; Chordata; Aves; Passeriformes; Viduidae. The transcript is spliced from 2 exons.
UUUCCCUGCAUGCAGGAUGAAUUGCUCUGGCUCUGCCUUCUCUGUUGGCAUCCCAAGUAACACUGUAUGAAUGGCACAGUGCUCCGUGUGGGUGAGUCAACAAAAGCAACACAGGAUCCCUUGCCCUUUAUAACACAGAGGGUUAUUGCUGGCCUGGUGUACUCUUCCAUGAUGGAUUCACAAGGCAGAGCCUGCAGCCCCACAGCAGCACUGAAGGUGUCGAGCAGGCAGCUCCAGCAGAGUCUGCAGCAGGAGAUGCUCGGCUUUAGCUGGGAGUUCUGCCAUGGAACGCUGAGAUGGGCACUGUGCACUGUCAGACCUCCUGCAGGGCUUCUUGGGCUGAGUGCACCUGACAGAGGGCAGAGAAUUUUGUGUUACCAGAGUAGAUGGUCAUGAGGUGUCCUCCUGACGGGGAUGGCAAGAGUAACUGGAGUCAUGUGUCUGUGUGGGUGUUUGGCAGCGAUGAUGUGAGCAGUAAAUUCAGCAGUGUAAUCACUGCAGCAUCCAGAAAAUGCUGAUGUUAAUGCCCAGAAUUGAUUUCCUUUUUAACUUUCCAGCUAGACUGGGGGGACAUAGCACUUGCUAGCCAAUAUUUUUAAUGUAUUGUUACUCCUUUUCUGUAAUUCCCUAAUUUUCCUGAAACAAAAGCGAAAGCUAAUUCACUUAGCUGAGGCAAAGACAGGAAGGAAGCCACAGGCACCAGAGUACCAUGGCGUCUCUCAUCUCCCACAUUAUUCCCAGGGGUCUGCAGAAGAGGAUAUGAUUAUUUUCUGUGUGGCUUAGAGCAGAGUAACCACAGGGCAAUUUCUGGAUCCAGGUGUGGGAAACAGCUUGAUGUGUUUGUUGCACAAAAGCACAGAGCUCUUAACAGCUCUUUGCUGAGCUCCUGUUGCUUUCUUCUCUCUCAAACGUUUAUUGUUAAAAAGCAGUGGCCUUGUAGUUGGAGGUAAAAGUAAGCAGAGAGCCUGGAGAUACACAAGACUUGUGAGUCUCUGUGCUGCAAGGAACAUCUCUGUUUAUGUGCUGCAGCAUGCACAUUCUGUUCCAGCCAUCCCCUCAUUUAUUUUGUGGUACAGGAGCAGUUACAGGCUUUGCACACCACCCCUGCAGCCUUCUUGUCUUCCCUCUGUACAAGAUCAUCUUUGCUGUUGCUACAGGCAGAUCUAAAUACACCAGUGCUUCAGGUUUUAGAAAGCGUUGCUGAUGCUGGCUGCAGAUGCUUCUUUACUGGAAGCAGCACUUUUCUGUUUUGACUGCCAAAGAACCACAAGUUCAAAUCCUAUAUGAUCUGUCCAGGCUUUUGGAGCAGAACCUGAUUCCCCAGCAGCAGCAGCAGCUUUGCUUUGAGUCUUUUGGCAGAGGAGCUGGAAGGUAAAUCAUCUGUGCCCAGUGUGCCUGGUAGCUCUCCCAAAGGGGUGGUUAAUUUUCCUGUACAGACAUUACAGGUCAGGCAGCUCAACAGCAAGGAACAGGAGUGAGAGCUCCUGCCCCAACUGGCAUGGAAAGUGCCAGCGUGGAGCAUCCCACGGGGCUGUGGGUCCCCACAGGAACCUGGUGGAAGAGCUGGAGUGAGGGGUUAUGUGCAAGAGAGCUGCUGUGAUUCUCCUUCCACCGACGGACUGCAGCUGGGCAGCGUUUUCUGCCUCAGCAAUACCUGCUGGCCUGCAAGGCUGGGCAGUUGUGUGGCCUCUGGAAAUGAACAGCUUCAUGUGAGCCAUCACCUACACGUCACCCACUCGGGUCUUGCUCAGGCUCUCUGGCAGCUUGUCUCCUCCUAGAAGCACAGUAGCAGGAAGCAGCAUGUUGCUCCCAUGAAUUUGUUUAUUUUCAUUACCAAAAAUAUUUAUACAGCGGCAGAAUUUGAUUUCUAAACCUCUGUGUGUUCCAGCUGUUUGUUCCCAGCUAGAGCUUAAGACAUCUGCUCCGAGGGUGGGGAUCAGUGCCUGAGCUCCUGAGAACCAGCUGCAGCAGGGCCCAGAGAGCUCUUAACGCCUGUGGCUGGUGGUUACGGUACAAGGAGGUGCAGGAGUAAAGGCAGGUGACAGCAGGUAGCUGGUCCGGCGGUUUGGGAUGCCAGUGAUAAGGAAAGGCUGCCUAAAGCACUCAGGAGUGGCGUGGUUGGUGGUGAGGCAGCCGGCAGCUCCUCCUGCGUCCGGCAUGACCUCAGCGGGCACGGCGGUGACACGUGCCCUUCCCUUCGCCUCAGCGCGCGUCAGCUGAACGCCAGCGCCUGGGCGCUGCCUCUGCCCGCUCCUGUUGCUCAAAGCCGCGGUGGGUUGAGCAAUGCCCGCGCUGGCCGUAGCUGUGGGCAGGGCAGUUCGUGCCCCGGCUCCCAUCGGCACCCAGGGAGUGCCGCGAUGCGCUGCGGGCGGAACAACCGGCCCAGGUGGUUCGCGGGGCGAGCCCGGCCGCGGGGCUGCUUCCUGCUGGGACUGACUCGGGCCGAGGACUCGCUUUGUUUCAAGGCCAGGUUUCCCCGGAGCUCCCUCUCGGAGCCCUGCAGUACAGCCAGGCAGCUGUCUGGGUGCUCAGACACCAGCGAGGGCGAGCGACCGUGACUGCGGGGCAGAGCUGUGCCGCCGGGCCGCACGGAGGAGCCAUUCCGGCCCAGCCAGCAGUCCUUAUUGCAACAUCCCAAAGGAAGUAUUUGGGCCGCAGGCGCGUCCCAGAUUUCCAAAGCAGCACAGGCGAUAAGCAGAUGCCUUUUUCUUAUGACACAGCUGCUCUGCCUAUGUCCCAGCUUUGACCAGGCCCCCGGCUGCGAGAGGAGCGCCCAGUCCGAGUGCUGGUGGGGACUUCUGCUGGGAUUCACCUCUCACUGCACCUUCGUUGGCUGGCUGGGAAGAUGCUGACCCUGCUGGAUCGCAAGCUUCUACAGCAGCUCAUCCUUCCAGUGCAGGAAUCACAGGCUCUGCUGGAGCCCAUGCAGGGUUUGUCCAGUGCAAGUCAUUAGUCUCAGAAAUAUGGGGUGAAUUCCCACUUCUUCAGGAUGCGAACAACAGAGGCAGGUUUGGAGGAAAUGUCUUCCAUCAGAAGUGUCUGUCCUCUGCCUUCAUCACUUACAGUCAAAGCAUGAAAGUUCAUUAGGCUCAUUGGCUAUUUCCUGUUCAGGCUGUCAACUAAAGAAGCAGCAGAGCAGCA